AACGAACGCUGGCGGCAUGCCUAACACAUGCAAGUCGAACGAGACCUUCGGGUCUAGUUGCGCACGGGUGCGUAACGCGUGGGAACCUGCCCUUAGGUUCGGAAUAACUCCCCGAAAGGGGUGCUAAUACCGGAUAAUGUCUUCCGACCAAAGAUUUAUCGCCUUUGGAUGGGCCCGCGUUGGAUUAGCUAGUUGGUAGGGUAAAAGCCUACCAAGGCGACGAUCCAUAGCUGGUCUGAGAGGAUGAUCAGCCACACUGGGACUGAGACACGGCCCAGACUCCUACGGGAGGCAGCAGUGGGGAAUAUUGGACAAUGGGCGAAAGCCUGAUCCAGCAAUGCCGCGUGAGUGAUGAAGGCCUUAGGGUUGUAAAGCUCUUUUACCCGGGAUGAUAAUGACAGUACCGGGAGAAUAAGCUCCGGCUAACUCCGUG
This 433-nucleotide ribosomal RNA is filed under the name uncultured bacterium. RNAcentral's name for it is "partial 16S ribosomal RNA". It matches the Rfam family "Bacterial small subunit ribosomal RNA", at positions 29 to 507 of the family's 1533-position model. The record is from RNAcentral.